RNAcentral lists this long non-coding RNA (4127 nucleotides) under Homo sapiens (human). Its description in RNAcentral is "non-protein coding lnc-DRD2-1:7". The record is from RNAcentral. Lineage: Eukaryota; Metazoa; Chordata; Mammalia; Primates; Hominidae.
AUGGACACGCGAUCAGAUUCGCUACCGCAGAGCUCUAGCUCCGGAGCGCGCCAAGUUGAAGGCCAAAGUCGAGGUUGGGAUGCCCGAUGCCUGGCGCGGGGAGACGGAGGAAGCAAAGUGCUGCUGCCUGGUGGAAAUACAGUAUUAUAUAAUGACAUGCUACUAUGCAUCUCUACCUAACUCCUCGUCUGGUGAUGCCAUAUUGAAAUCAGCCAUACUGAGAGUAUUUACACACUGCUGAAGUCAGUAAAUGCUACAAAUCAAGGCUUGAAUGUAACCUACAUGAGAAAGAGUUGCCUUGCUCACUGCCGUAUCCCAGUAUCCCAAGAACCUUGGAGAUGCUCUAUGAAUACUGAAUGAAUCUGAGAGGAAACUAGCCCGAAGGGGGAAGGCUCUGGAAGCAAGCCCUCAUGGACCAACGGAGAAAAAGGAAACUGAAUCUUGGGGAGAUUAAGCAACUCUUUCAAGGUCAACCGGGGAGCGGCAGAACCAGAGUUCGAAGGAAACCUUUCUGAAUCUGACGUCUGCCCCUUCUAAAUUAGGACUCUCAUCUAUCAGCCUGUGAGAAAAAAUACAGAAAGCAUCAUUCAGGCAACACAUGAACUCAAGACACUGAGACUUCGCUAACCUUCCUCGCACACAAGGUCCUAAAGGAACUACCACACGCAUGUCCACAUUUGAUGCACAUAACAGACUCUCACCGCAUUGAAAUAAACCCCAGUAUGAUCAUAAUAGCUUUUUUCUUUCAAUUUUUAUUGAACACAAGUAUUCCGACAGAAUGCAAAGUCAAAAUUCUCAGUUAGUACUCAGUAUUUACACCAGUGAGAAUGGAAACAAAGGUGGUAUCGAUGUUUCACUUGGUAAAAAGUUUUAUAACAAGAGAGAAGGCCCCCGAAGUACAGAAUGCUGGGUAGGGAUGUUAAUGGAGGUCUGAAAACCGCCAUCCAGACAGACAGCCUCAAGUGAAAACCUGGGACUCGGAAGGCUCCAUAGAAAAGUGUGAAAAUAGAGUUCCACCUCCAAAGCUGCACUAUAUACACCACAGCCCUGCAGGGUCCAGUGGCCCUGCUCGUCACACUUGAGUGCUCCUCCAGCAGAACUUGGCCAUGCCGGUCUUCAUGUGAAUACAUAUGUAUGGCACAUACACACAUAGACACAUAGACAUUGGAAACUGGAGUUGAUCCCUCCUUCAAAAAUUAAAAAAGAAAAUUAUAAGCUUUGAUCUCUUAACAUAAAAGAUAAAACAUCUUGGAAUAAAAUGACUCCCUCUUUGAUUUUAGAGAAAGCAUUGCUUUUUUUUUUUUUUUUUUUUUUUUUUUAAAGGAAAAACUCUUGCAUGCUGAGACAAACCUAUGUGUAAUGGGAGAGAACAGACCAAAAUGUGGGCAGAGUCUUAGGUCCUAGCUAAUGGCAGAGCCAGGGUUCUAGGGGGUCAGCUGUCCCGGGCCAGGUGAUCUGAGGGCUGACCUGUUUCUUCCUAACCAUCAGAACCAAAACCAGUUUGACCUAACCACAACCACUUUGACAGUCUUGACAAGGUAUGGCAUGGGCUUGGCCUGGUGUGGCAAAGCCAUCGACAUUACAAGAUGAAGAACUGAGUCCACUGAACAGCCUGGUGACCAGAAGAGCCUGCCCCUCACUGCUGGGCCCUCCCGGUCUCAGACACCCAGGCUCUCACAUUCUACUGUGUGCUCUAAGAUCUCUCUUCAUGUUCCUCUAUUCUGAGGGCCUGUGCAUUUGAACCAGAGAUCUGUGCAGGCCCUAGAAUCAAAGGGGCCAGGGCUGUGUGUUCUGGGAUCCUCCAUUUCCAUCCCCAGGAGCUGAGAAAAUGCAACAUAACCCCACAUUGAGCAAAUGACAAGACCAUUAUUCUUCACAGUUUGAAAUUAUAAUCUAGCAUCGCCACUGAUCAGACUGCAGAAGUGUCAGAACGUUGGGGAGAGUGGCCCACAGAAUGGACCCAGAGGCAGCCUUGCCACCCUAACCUCUUGCUGCUUUGUACCUUAGGAGAGGAGCGCAUGCGGAGUACUGAUUUCUGUUUACUUAGCAUCAUCUUCAUCAUCAUCAUCAUCAUCUGUAUUUCAUUUUCUUUGUUAAAAGGCUUCGAUUCCGUUUGAGUGAUUUUUGUUUCCUGAAUAUUUUUUCUGAACUAUCUGCUAUACCUUCCACAACCAAACUAUGUUGAAGUUUUAUUUCAAUACUAUGACAAAAACACGUUUCACACUAAAAUAUUCACGCAUCCACAGUGCACAAGCUUGCAGUUCUAAAGUAGAAUGAGGGAAAAAAAAGCAAAAUUUCUAUACAAAGGGCUGGCUUUUCCCUUCUCCCCCCCCUCCCAUCCCCCUUAAAGUUUCUGUAUUUUUUCCCCCACUUGGUUUCCAAUCCAGGAAAGUUGUGUUAUGACUCCAGACAGUAGGUUGUUUCUUUCUUCUUUUGUUUCUAUAAAUGCUGCCUAAGUGAACAGAAGGCCGAUGUUACUUUACUUCAACAGAUUUCCAAAAAAAGACACUAAUUCCCUGAAGCACACAUGCUCUUCCGCUCAAAUCUAGAUUCUGGGCUCAAAAGGAAAUGGUAUGUAUAGAUUUUAUUUGGCUUUCUACACAAAGGGGAUGUGUGGGGUAAUAAUGUGUGUUCACCAAGACCAGCCCCAACUAUACAAUCUUCUCUGCUUCAUUCAACAAAGCCUAAGGAGUCCUUCAAAAGAAGGGUGAGAACGCCUGGGAGCAGAUCCCUUUUCACAGAUGCAGGCAGGUGGCGGCUAAUCAGAAAGUGGUCUAACCCCCAAAGAAACACAAAAAUAACCAAAAAUUCAAAAGCAAAACCAUUCCAGAAUGAGAUGGAUUUUCACCUGAGUGGGACCCAGGCAAAAACUGCAGAUCAGAAAAGAGGGGAAGAGCAGCUGUAAACAAUCAUGUUUUGUAAAGUUGUCCUGUGCUAAAGCAAGCGUGGGAUGAUCCUACCUACCUCUAGGUGGUAUUUGUUACCUUAAAAAAUAAAAGGCAGCUAUUUUACACGGACAUUUAAACACAACCAAAGUCAAACAUUUGUCACCUUGUAAACACUGGAAAACAAAGUUGGCAGAAAGAAAGAAAGAAAAAAGAAUGUAAAAGAAAGAAAAAGAAGUCUGAAUACUGCAAAUUGAGAUCUACCCCCAGAAGCUGCAAUUUGGCAUUCGUCCUAUAAAAUAAGAGUCUACGUGGGAAUUGAAUUCAGCUAGAAAGGGUGACACACUUUGCAUACUGAACAAAUACAAAGUGAACAGAAAUUAUAACUUAUUUAUGAGGUUUUACAGAGUUCAAACUUGACUGAAAGUAUAAAAAUAAACUGUGGACUUUGUUCAUUCGAUUAGUCUUAGUGCCUGAAAGUAUUUCUCUGAAACUGGUCUGUGCCAAUCGGGUAACACCAAGUGUGGUCUUCCUGAACCUAGAUUUCGUUUCUGAGCUUCCUAGAUUCUUAAUUUGGGGUCCUUUUGUUUGAUUUUUUAACGGUUUCAGGGAACGGAGUGUCCUAGUUUGGCUGUGGGUUUAACCUUUUUGUCUCAUUUUCUUACAAGUGAGUGUGCAACAAAGGGACCCUUUCUAUAAACCUACAAAAAGGAGAUUCCCAUGUUUUAUCUGUUUAGUUUUUUUUAAAGGCAAAAGACACUAGAGAAAUGAGAUGUGUGUGUGUGCAUGUGUGUUUGUGUGUGUGCGUGCGUGUGUGUGUCUGUGGUGUUGGAAAUGCUCUGGUGAAGCUGCUGUGUCACUUUUUAUUUUGAUCUUUGCUCGGUUCUCUUCACCCAUCAUGCUUUGCUCUCGUUCUCCUUUGUCUGUGUGGCGUCAUUGGGGACCGUCUUGACUUCGGCUGGCGCUGGCUUCGUUUCUGUCUCCUGGCACUCUGGCUUUGCUUCUACGGGGCCCUUCCUGCAGAGAAUCAGGAAAACAGAACCACUGAGACCACGGUCUGCAGACAUCUCGCCCCUGCAUCCAGGCCUUGGGGACAGCAGGGAGGAGGAGGGGUUCUCCAGUGACAGCACCCGGCUCCAACCUCUGCCCGUCAAAUCACCUGGGAGCACUAAAAAUCACCCAAGCCCGAGCUGUGUUCGCGGAAAUCCUGAUUUAAUUGGUCCGGACACAGUGACUUUUAAA